UACGUAGGGUGCAAGCGUUGUCCGGAAUCAUUGGGCGUAAAGCGCGCGUAGGUGGCUUCGUAAGUCCGUUGUGAAAGUCAAAGGCUCAACCUUUGAAUGCCGAUGGAUACUGCGAAGCUAGAGUACGGAAGAGGCGAGUGGAAUUCCUGGUGUAGCGGUGGAAUGCGCAGAUAUCAGGAGGAACACCAAUAGCGAAGGCAGCUCGCUGGGACGUUACUGACACUAAGGCGCGAAAGCGUGGGGAGUAAACAGG
Molecule: ribosomal RNA, 253 nt
Filed under: uncultured bacterium
Lineage: Bacteria
Description: partial 16S ribosomal RNA
Rfam family: Bacterial small subunit ribosomal RNA
Source: RNAcentral